RNAcentral lists this ribosomal RNA (815 nucleotides) under uncultured bacterium. RNAcentral's name for it is "bacterial SSU rRNA". It matches the Rfam family "Bacterial small subunit ribosomal RNA", at positions 51 to 874 of the family's 1533-position model. The record is from RNAcentral.
ACACAUGCAAGUCGAGGGGUAUAGUAGCAAUACUAGAGACCGGCGCACGGGUGCGUAACGCGUAUGCAAUCUACCUUUUGCAGAGGGAUAGCCCAGAGAAAUUUGGAUUAAUACCUCAUAGUAUAACGACUCGGCAUCGAGAUGUUAUUAAAGUCACAACGGCAAAAGAUGAGCAUGCGUCCCAUUAGUUAGUUGGUAAGGUAACGGCUUACCAAGACUACGAUGGGUAGGGGUCCUGAGAGGGAGAUCCCCCACACUGGUACUGAGACACGGACCAGACUCCUACGGGAGGCAGCAGUGAGGAAUAUUGGUCAAUGGGCGCAAGCCUGAACCAGCCAUGCCGCGUGCAGGAUGACGGUCCUAUGGAUUGUAAACUGCUUUUGCACAGGAAGAAACAACGCUACGUGUAGCGUCUUGGCGGUACUGUGAGAAUAAGGAUCGGCUAACUCCGUGCCAGCAGCCGCGGUAAUACGGAGGAUCCAAGCGUUAUCCGGAAUCAUUGGGUUUAAAGGGUCCGUAGGCGGUCUUAUAAGUCAGUGGUGAAAUCUCCCCGCUCAACGGGGAAACGGCCAUUGAUACUGUAGGACUUGAAUUAUUAGGAAGUAACUAGAAUAUGUAGUGUAGCGGUGAAAUGCUUAGAGAUUACAUGGAAUACCAAUUGCGAAGGCAGGUUACUACUAAUGGAUUGACGCUGAUGGACGAAAGCGUGGGUAGCGAACAGGAUUAGAUACCCUGGUAGUCCACGCCGUAAACGAUGGAUACUAGCUGUUGGGCGCAAGUUCAGUGGCUAAGCGAAAGUGAUAAGUAUCCCACCU